ACUCCAUAGAAUCUUUACCCAUCAGAGUUGAACCCUGGUCUGAGUAGUUGUGAAAGGGGGAGUCACAAAAUUGAAGUUGACUUUCAUUCUUUUGUGACACACUAGCUAGUUUCCAAAAACA
Molecule: small nucleolar RNA, 121 nt
Filed under: Echinops telfairi (small Madagascar hedgehog)
Lineage: Eukaryota; Metazoa; Chordata; Mammalia; Afrosoricida; Tenrecidae
Description: Small nucleolar RNA SNORA61 (ENSETEG00000026181.1)
Source: RNAcentral